RNAcentral lists this ribosomal RNA (435 nucleotides) under uncultured bacterium. RNAcentral's name for it is "partial 16S ribosomal RNA". It matches the Rfam family "Bacterial small subunit ribosomal RNA", at positions 28 to 507 of the family's 1533-position model. The record is from RNAcentral.
AGCGAACGCUGGCGGCAGGCUUAACACAUGCAAGUCGAACGGGCAUCUUCGGAUUUCAGUGGCAGACGGGUGAGCAACCCGGGGGAACGCACCCUUCUGUCCGGAAUUACUCAGUGAAAUUUGUUCUAAUACCGGAUACGCCCACCUGGGGGAAGGUCGACUGCCGUAGGGUCGGCCCGCGUCUGUUUGGCUUGUGGGUUGGGGUAGCGCCUGCCAAGGCUACGGGUAGUAGCUGGUCUGAGCGGAUGAUCAGCCACGCUGGGACUGCGACACGGCCCAGACUGCUACGGGGGGCAGCAGUGGGGAGUAUUGGGGAAUGAGCGCAAGCCUGAUCCAGCCAUGCCGCGUGAGAGAUGAAGGCCUUAGGGUUGUAAAGCUCUUUUGGCCGAGACGAUAAUGACGGUACCGGAAGAAUAAGCCCCGGCUAACUUCGUG